CAGAAGCUCUGCUCUCUGAGCAAAAAAGCCAGGCUGGGAUUUCCAGGACAGAGGCCCAGACCGCACCAUGCCCCGCUUCCCGCCUCUGCCUGUUCCGUGGGACCCCACUCUCGGCUCCGCGGUCCCCGGGGGCAGGGACAGCGCCACGCACCCCUGACCCCAGCCCCGGCUGAGCGCCCCUCGCGCGCGCCCUGGGACCCUGGGCGACACCCCUGGAGCAGCUGGCGCCCAAACCCCGCGCAGCAAGACCGCGGAUACUUAGGAGACUGCGUUUGUGUUAGUUUUGUUUUUCUUUUUUGUUGCAGCCAAGAAUGGGACCUGGGUUUAAUUCCCGCGCCCCCUGCCAGGCAGCCCCACCGCCACCCCAGGACUCUGAGCCUCGGGUGGAAAAAGCCAAAGUCUCCAGCGCCGGGCUGCGGGGCGCCGAGGGGACGCGCGUGGGGACCCCCGUCCCGGCCACCGCUGUCCCGCCCGGUCCCUCCCCAGCCGGACCCAGAUCGGCGGCGGCGCCUCUUACCGGAGGGUGCGCGCAGCGAGGGACCUUGAGUCUUGGGGAACUCGGCACCAGCACCCCAGCUGCGCACGCCGGCAGACUUCUGCCCAGUAUUGGUAUCGGUCUCGGGUUCCACCUGCGGCAUUGGAGACAGGAUUUUCUGUGAUUUGCAACAAACCUGAUUAAAGGAAUUCUAACUAAAAUAAAGUGUAAACUUCUCUCGAUUUUUACCCAUAGAUCCAUUCUAGGAAAUUUCAGUACAUUCUCCAAACCAUUUCACAAUGCUUAACGUUUCUUAGCAUCAGAGCUGAAACGACUGAUUUUACCAAAAAGAAAAAAAAAUUGUAACAUAACUGAGUAUAGGGGGAAGAGGUGGGGCAUCAGAAACUUGCAUGGGACCCGGGAUGGCGCUGGGCACAGAGCUCAGGAUACUGGCACCCUAAGUCGGGUCUCAAAAUUCGUGACCAAAAUACCCCAACACCACCACGCGUCUUCCCUGGACAAUAAACACCUCACAGUAUUCAGGACCGUGAGUGGCAAAAGUUAUUUUGGGGUGCACAAAGCACCACUCUCGGUAAGAAUGUACUAAUUUGUAUCUGGUUUUUCCCCCAGAUCCAUUUUAUUUCAAGGAGAAGAGGAAGAGGAAGAGGAGAAGAAGGAGAAAGAGAAGCAGGAGAAAGAAGAAGAAGAAGAGGAAGAGGAAGAAACUAAAAAUUUCAAAACACAUCAAUUAGAGGACAACAGUGGACACUAUCUGUUUUCCAUGCGUUGCUCUGCGGUAUUUUUUUUAAGCACCUACCUCCUAGGAUCCUUGAAAAUGUGAGUUAAUCCAUGAAAGUGAUCGGUACUGUACCUGGCACAGACUUAGUAUUUGGUAGCAGCCAGUACUGCGGCAGUUGGAAUUAUGUUAUUGCUGUGGUUUAAUGGGGGCCCACUCCAAAACCCACAGUGAAAUUUUAUUGCCAUUGUUAGGGCACUAAAAGGUGGUGUGUGCCCAUCGUCGGGGUUGGGUUGUUGCCCAGCUAAAGGGUGAAUUCAGCUCCAUGUCCCCUGCCUCCCUCCCUGCCCUACCGUCUGCCCCGGGUCUGCUGGGUGACUUUGUGGAAGGAGGCCCUCAGCAGGCACCAGCCACCUGACCCUGGCAGACUUCUCCAGUGUUGCCAACCGAUAGUCUCUGUCCAUUCUAAAUUGCCCAUCCCACCUGCUGUGCUGCAGUGGCACAGGGCAUGGUGGCUGGGGUGACCCAUUCAGGGGCAGGUGUUACACUGAGCACAAACAUCCCUGCCCUAUGACAAAUGGAAGAGUAAGUAUCGGCCCACGGUGUGUGAAUUACUGGACCCCACUUCUCAAAGGGGAGAGGUAACCGAGAUGUGGGAAAGGGGGCUCUUCACUGACUGGGUAGUGACGAUGCACUGCAGAGUUGACACUGAACCUGACAGUGGGAUCCUGGGGAAACAGCAGUCUUUCUUCUGAGAACACCAGCUCCCACUGUCUGGUUAACCUUCAACUGAAUUGUUUUUUUAAGACAAGGUCUUGCUAUGUAGUUCCUGGCUGGCCUUAAACUCACAGAGAUCCUCCUGCCUCAGCCUCCUGAGAGCUGGGAUUUAAAGCAUGUGCUUCCACACCUGGCUAGUUAGCCUUCAGUAUCCUGGCCCAGUACCUGCUACCCUUCAUUUUGUGCAGCCCUGCCACAGGCUGCCUUGCACUUCACUCCCAGUUACUCAACCCACACUUGGAUUGAGGCCAGCAGAACCCACAUCCCCCAGGCAGGAACACACACACACAUUUGCCAUUCCCAAAGAAACUGAGUCUGCUGCAGCUACACCCACCUGUAAGAAAUCCUCACGGGAGAUCUACCUGCAGGUUGAAAUGAAGACCUUAAGACAAUAAAUCAAAGCUUGUGAAGAAAUAAAGAUGUCAAGAAAGGUAAAUGCAGGGGCAAUUAUAAAAGAUUUUAUAACAGUGUAACAAUAAAAGUUAUUGCGAUCAUGGCUUGUAAUUUGACUUGUUGUUUUCCACGUGAU
This is a long non-coding RNA of Cavia porcellus (domestic guinea pig), 2517 nucleotides long. NCBI's taxonomy places the organism in Eukaryota, Metazoa, Chordata, Mammalia, Rodentia, Caviidae. The record is from Ensembl.